This 114-nucleotide ribosomal RNA is filed under the name Pteropus alecto (black flying fox). Lineage: Eukaryota; Metazoa; Chordata; Mammalia; Chiroptera; Pteropodidae. The record is from RNAcentral.
GUCUACAGCCAUGCCACCCUGAACAAGCCCAAUGUCUGAUCUCAGAAGCUUAGCAGGGUCGGGCCUGGUUAGGACUUGGAUGAGAGACCACCUAGGAAGACGGUGCUGCAGGCA